AUUGAACGCUGGCGGCAGGCCUAACACAUGCAAGUCGAGCGAGUGGCGGACGGGUGAGUAAUGUCUGGGAAACUGCCUGAUGGAGGGGGAUAACUACUGGAAACGGUAGCUAAUACCGCAUACUAUCGGAUGUACCCAGAUGGGAUUAGCUAGUAGGUGGGGUAACGGCUCACCUAGGCGACGAUCCCUAGCUGGUCUGAGAGGAUGACCAGCCACACUGGGACUGAGACACGGUCCAGACUCCUACGGGAGGCAGCAGUGGGGAAUAUUGCACAAUGGGCGCAAGCCUGAUGCAGCCAUGCCGCGUGUAUGAAGAAGGCCUUCGGGUUGUAAAGUACUUUCAGCGGGGAGGCGUUACCCGCAGAAGAAGCACCUGCUAACUCCGUGCCAGCCGCCGCGUUAAUUC
This 406-nucleotide ribosomal RNA is filed under the name uncultured bacterium. RNAcentral's name for it is "partial 16S ribosomal RNA". It matches the Rfam family "Bacterial small subunit ribosomal RNA", at positions 30 to 526 of the family's 1533-position model. The record is from RNAcentral.